AGAGUUUGAUCCUGGCUCAGGAUGAACGCUAGCGGCAGGCCUAAUAUAUGCAAGUCGAGGGGUAACAGGGUAGUAAUACUGCUGACGACCGGCGCACGGGUGCGUAAUGCGUAUGCAACCUACCUUUAACUGGGGGAUAGCCCCGAGAAAUCGGGAUUAAUACCGCAUAACACUGUGAUAUGGUAUUAUAUUACAGUUAAAAUUUUGGUGGUUAAAGAUGGGCAUGCGUGACAUUAGUUAGUUGGUAGGGUAAUGGCUUACCAAGACUACGAUGUCUAGGGGUUUUGAGAGGAUGAUCCCCCACACUGGUACUGAGAUAUGGACCAGACUCCUAUGGGAGGCAGCAGUAAGGAAUAUUGGUCAAUGGACGUAAGUCUGAACCAGCCAUGCCGCGUGCAGGAAGACGGCCCUAUGGGUUGUAAACUGCUUUUAUAUAGGAAUAAAUUCAUGUUUGUGAAUAUGAUUGAAGGUAUUAUAAGAAUAAGGACCGGUUAACUCCGUGUUAGUAGUUGUGGUAAUACGGAGGGUCCAAGCGUUAUCCGGAUUUAUUGGGUUUAAAGGGUGCGCAGGCGGACCUAUCAGUCAGUGGUGAAAUUUCGGGGUUUAACUCCGAAAUUGCCAUUGAUACUGUAGGUCUUGAGUUUGGUUGAAGUGGGCGGAAUGUAGCAUGUAGUGGUGAAAUGUAUAGAUAUGCUACAGAAUAUUGAUUGUGAAGGUAGCUCACUAAGCCAAAACUGACGCUCAGGCACGUAAGCGUGGGUAGUGAAUAGGAUUAGAUAUCCUGGUAGUCCACGCCGUAAACGAUGAUCACUCGUUGUUGGUGACAUAUUGUCAGUGAUUAAGUGAAAGUGAUAAGUGAUCCACCUGGGGAGUACGUUCGUAAGAAUGAAACUCAAAGGAAUUGACGGGGGCCCGCACAAGCGGUGGAGCAUGUGGUUUAAUUCGAUGAUAUGUGAGGAAUUUUACCUGGGCUUAAAUGUAAGUUGACAGGUCCUGAAAGGGAUUUUUUUUGGACAAUCUACAAGGUGCUGCAUGGUUGUCGUCAGCUCGUGCCGUGAGGUGUUGGGUUAAGUCCCAUAACGAGCGUAAUCCCUAUUCUUAGUUGCCAUCAGGUUAUGCUGGGGACUCUAGGAAAACUGCCUACGUAAGUAGAGAGGAAGGUGGGGAUGACGUCAAAUCAGUACGGCCCUUAUGUCCAGGGCUACACACGUGCUACAAUGGCCGGUAUAGAGGGCAGCUAUCCCGUGAGGGAGAGCGAAUCUCGAAAGCCGGUCUCAGUUUGGAUUGAAGUCUGUAAUUUGACUUCGUGAAGCUGGAAUCGCUAGUAAUCGCGCAUUAGCCAUGGCGCGGUGAAUACGUUUCCGGGCCUUGUAUAUAUCGCCCGUCAAGCCAUGGAAGCUGGGGGUACCUGAAGUCGGUAACCGUAAGGAGCUGCCUAGGGUAAAACUAGUGACUGGGGCUAAGUUGAAAUAAGGUA
RNAcentral lists this ribosomal RNA (1477 nucleotides) under metagenome. RNAcentral describes it as "bacterial SSU rRNA". It matches the Rfam family "Bacterial small subunit ribosomal RNA". The record is from RNAcentral.